RNAcentral lists this non-coding RNA (31 nucleotides) under Mus musculus (house mouse). Lineage: Eukaryota; Metazoa; Chordata; Mammalia; Rodentia; Muridae. The record is from RNAcentral.
UAGGUGAUAGAUCUGAAUUACUUGGAGAGUC